UCCAAUAUGUAGUUUUCUUACUCCCGUUGCAACGCCCGGACCCUUUUGCUAGUAAUAAUAAAGCAGAUAUUGCUUCUGUCGUAUGUCCUGACAUUUUUACAAAAACACCCCUUGAUUUUAUUAAAAUCAACCCGCGGUCCUUCAGUAAUCAGUAAGUGAAAAAAUGUUUUGCUUUUUUAUAAAAAAAACACAGCGGUCACCCCCUUCUCCUCCUCCCCUCGCCGCCACACGUUUGUGCUCGCGGGGCAAAGCCACCGCGCGGAUCCGACGAUGGUUGGGCCUCUCGCACGCUGGAGCGGCUCGGCCGCGAGCGAGGGCUCGUGCGGCGCCCGUUUGUGUUCGCCGGACAAAGCCCUCGCGCGGAUCCAUCGGUNNNN
Molecule: long non-coding RNA, 377 nt
Filed under: Hordeum vulgare
Lineage: Eukaryota; Viridiplantae; Streptophyta; Magnoliopsida; Poales; Poaceae
Description: long non-coding RNA (HVUL_LNC001852)
Source: RNAcentral